RNAcentral lists this ribosomal RNA (444 nucleotides) under uncultured bacterium. RNAcentral's name for it is "SSU rRNA". It matches the Rfam family "Bacterial small subunit ribosomal RNA", at positions 26 to 518 of the family's 1533-position model. The record is from RNAcentral.
AGAGCGAACGCUGGCGGCAGGCCUAACACAUGCAAGUCGAGCGCCGUAGCAAUACGGAGCGACAGACGGGAGAGUAACACGUGGGAACGUACCCUUUGGUUCGGAACAACCCAGGGAAACUUGGGCUAAUACCGAAUAAGCCCUUACGGGGAAAGAUUUAUCGCCGAAGGAUCGGCCCGCGUCUGAUUAGCUAGUUGGUGGGGUAACGGCCCACCAAGGCGACGAUCAGUAGCUGGUCUGAGAGGAUGAUCAGCCUCAUUGGGACUGAGACACGGCCCAAACUCCUACGGGAGGCAGCAGUGGGGAAUCUUGCGCAAUGGGGAAACCCUGACGCAGCGACGCCGCGUGCGGGAUGAAGGCCUUCGGGUUGUAACCGCUUUCAGCAGGGACGAAAUUGACGGUACCUGCAGAAGAAGGCCCGGCCAACUACGCGCCAGCAGCCGC